GGGCUUUACUGUCUCUUACUUCCAAUCCGUGAAAUUGACCUUCCCGUGAAGAGGCGGGAAUAUGACAAUAAGACGAGAAGACCCUAUGGAGCUUUAAUUAACCGACCCAAAGAGAUCUUGAUAAUCAACCGACAGGGAUAACAUACCUCUACCAUGGGCCGACAAUUUAGGUUGGGGUGACCUCGGAGAAUAAAACAACCUCCGAGUGAUUUAAAUCUAGACUAACUAGUCGAAAGUACUACAUCACUUAUUGAUCCAAAAACUUGAUCAACGGAACAAGUUACCCUAGGGAUAACAGCGCAAUCCUAUUUUAGAGUCCAUAUCGACAAUAGG
Molecule: ribosomal RNA, 333 nt
Filed under: Panthera onca (jaguar)
Lineage: Eukaryota; Metazoa; Chordata; Mammalia; Carnivora; Felidae
Description: partial 16S ribosomal RNA
Rfam family: Bacterial large subunit ribosomal RNA
Source: RNAcentral